RNAcentral lists this microRNA precursor (103 nucleotides) under Marmota monax (woodchuck). Lineage: Eukaryota; Metazoa; Chordata; Mammalia; Rodentia; Sciuridae. The record is from RNAcentral.
AGUGGAAUUGCUAGACCACAUGGUAAUUCUAGGUUUAGCUUUUUGAGGAGCAACCAAACUAUUUUCCACAGUCGCAGUAUCAUUUUACAUUCCUACCAGAAAU